Molecule: long non-coding RNA, 2254 nt
Organism: Peromyscus leucopus (white-footed mouse)
Lineage: Eukaryota; Metazoa; Chordata; Mammalia; Rodentia; Cricetidae
Exons: 2
Source: RefSeq, a predicted model, not a curated record
UUCCUCUACUGCCAGAGGCACACACAGGCACGGGAGCUGUUAGUGUCUUGCCUGGCUGUGUGUCCUCAUUACGUUAACGGCUACGAAAACAUAGCCUUAGCCCAGGGCCACCUUGAACAGUGCUCCCACUGAGGACACUGCCCACCUCAGGUCUUGCUCAGCCCAGAUGGCUCUGACACUCUUGACUCCUGGGUGCCAGUCCCAGCUUCUGCUAACCAGCUCCCUGAAGGAUGUUUCCAGCAUCUCUCCCCGUGUGGAUGUCGGGCCUUGUGCCACUCCAUCUGAAAAAGCCGUGUGAAGAAUUUUCUCCUCAAGGGGAUUGGCAAGGACGUCACAUGAGACAGCCGGCAUUUCCCUCCCAGCUGCCCACCUGCCAUCCAGGAGCCACAGUUUGGAAAGACGCUGCACACAGAAACUGCUGAGAGCUCGGGUAUAAAAGGCUAAUUACUUCUUAUCGAAACAGUGUGCUUGUCAGUCCCUAACAGCUCUCGCUCGCUCUCUUCGCAGGAUGCAUUUGGAAAUUCUAAAAAAGGGGUUUCUGCCUUCUGUGAGUUUCCAUGCUACAGGAGUUGCUAGAAGUCUUGGGUCUGCUUUCCCUGAGGAAGCAGCCACUCUGCCUUCUGAGAUAACGUUUGGGAGAAGCGGUUUUAAAAAGCCAAAUACUUGGAAGUUCCUUCUCUCGUCCCAUCAGAGAGAAUUCCUUUAGGAGGCUCUGAGCGUCCACUCUUCCUGGGCUGUCAUCUAGAAGCAGAAUGAGAACUGGCCCUUGGAAACAGUCAUUUCUCACCAAGACCAGAGAGUGGCGGAAGGGUGGGGGUGGGGGCCGACAAAUUACAAAGAGGUGACGCCACAUCUGUCGGGCUCUGGGGUUCUCUUGUCAGGAGUAGGAUCUGAGCAUGGACCAAACGAGGACCUGCUCCCAGCAGGAGAACCAGGGGAGAUGAACCCGGCCUCCCACCACCUUCAACUCCGAGCCACGACUUCUGAAGCAUGGGGAAAGCCAUGGAGCAACUAGCUAAUGCUCUGAUUUACAGAUGAGGAUGCCAAGGCCCGGUGAGGAGUCUCACACAAGGUCACAGUUUCUGGCAAAAAGAGGGGAGAAAAAAAAAAAGGUAAAGAACAGCCAUCCCUGUCCAGGUCAUUGGCUAAUGGGGCAGAUGCUCAGUUGUCCCUGGUAUUCUCAGGUCCAGGGACCCUUCCUGGCAUCAGUAUGGACUUGCUGGCGGGCCCUGUCCCUGUUGGCUAGUGUCCAAUCAGAGCCGGUUUCUCCAAAGCAACACUCAUGCUUUUCAAGGAGCACCUGCUGAGACAGACUAGGCCGCAGUCUCUCACUCACAGGGCUUUUCUUACAGGCACAGCCAGGCUGGGCCCGCAGAAGCCCACACUCAGGGUUGGGGGAGGGGAGAUGCUUUGCUACAUUAAAGAUUAAGCCCUUUGUCAGAGAACAAGGACCUUCCCUUGGGCAUGCCAACGUCUGACCUGUGUUUGUCCAGCUCCACCGACAGACAGAGCUGGUGCCCAAGGAGGCCAAGUUGCUCUCUUUGGCAUCACUGACAUUGCUCUGAGAUGCUCAGGCACUCUCAAAAUGACCCUUUCCCAGCCAGGCCAGGCUGAUCUGGCCACCAUCGAGCCACACCUGAUUGGAUGGGGCUCCCCUGCUCUCUGAUGGUGGUUAAUCUCCCCAGCCUCUUUGGACCUGGGCUAGAAGCAGAGCAGACUGGAGGGAGGAGGCAGGGAAAGGGUCUACAUUUCCAUCUCCUCUCUGAUCAUCCAGCGGAAGAUGAUGCAGGAGAGGGGGCACAUUCAGAAGAAUGUCUAUGUGUCAGGACAGUGGAGACAACUGAGGAGCAGGAGAGAAGAGGAGGUGGUAGGGAAGCAGGCCUCUUCUGGUCUACCUCCCCGUGGCCACUACAGAAAUGCUGCUGGACAAGCUUCCAGGCCCCACCUGAAGUACCGCAUCUCCCCACACUGUGGAGAGCAACCUCGGUCAAAGGCAGCGACUUCUUAAGAGAGUUUGCACAGUGCUGGAUGCAAUGGGAGAAACGCAGAAGAGCAGCCUUGCUGGGGCGCCACUGCUUCCUAGGGCAGGAGUGAUGGAGAACAUGAGGUAUCAGGAGCUCUGGGUCCCCGGGGACGCAGAACCUGCAGUGUGAGGUCCCUGGCUAUGACAGGGCUCCUGGGAACACAGUUGAGGAUUGUGCUACAUUUCAUUUCCAAAGAAAUGCCCUGGGAGGGCUCAAUUGUCUUUAAAAAA